GACGUAGGAUGCGAGCGUUGUCCGGAUUUAUUGGGCGUAACGAGUUCGUAGGUGGUUUGUUAAGUCUGAUGUUAAAGACUGGGGCUCAACCCUGGAUAUGCAUUGGAUACUGGCAGACUUGAGUGUGGUAGAGGCUAGUGGAAUUCCCAGUGUAGCGGUGAAAUGCGUAGAUAUUGGGAAGAACACCGGUGGCGUAGGCGACUAGCUGGGCCAUAACUGACACUGAGGAACGAAAGCCAGGGUAGCGAAUGGG
RNAcentral lists this ribosomal RNA (253 nucleotides) under uncultured bacterium. RNAcentral's name for it is "partial 16S ribosomal RNA". It matches the Rfam family "Bacterial small subunit ribosomal RNA", at positions 524 to 776 of the family's 1533-position model. The record is from RNAcentral.